Molecule: unclassified non-coding RNA, 197 nt
Filed under: rhizosphere metagenome
Description: partial ribosomal RNA internal transcribed spacer region
Source: RNAcentral
GUAGGUGAACCUGCGGAAGGAUCAUUAUCGUAGGGCUUCGGCCCUGUCGAGAUAGAACCCUUGCCUUUUUGAGUACCUCUUGUUUCCUCGGCGGGCUCGCCCGCCGAUGGACCCCCCAAAAAACACUUUGCAGUACCUGUAAUAGUCUGAACAACAAACAAAAAUUAAAACUUUCAACAACGGAUCUCUUGGUUCUG